UACGGGAUCGCUACCCGAGGACAGCGGUAGGUCCUGCCUACAAGAAAAUCACGAGCACGCCUUAGUGUGAGCGAAUAGAAACUUAGGAACACUUCGUUCAGUCAUUGUGGCAUUUAUGGAUUCGAUGAAAGUUUUUAGAACAGCUGAGAUGUCUGGUGCGACGUCUUCCGUUUGGCUCUGGUUGAUUUUGGUGUUCGCCAUCUUCAUCAAGUCUUCCUCGGCUGAACAGAUAAAUAUUACUGCUGUGUUUGGUGAAAGUGUCACUUUGCCAUGUCGAGUUUUGGAUGGUAACAAAACCAUCGAUGGCCUAGAGUGGAGCAAACCUGAGCUGGAGA
Molecule: long non-coding RNA, 335 nt
Organism: Haplochromis burtoni (Burton's mouthbrooder)
Lineage: Eukaryota; Metazoa; Chordata; Actinopteri; Cichliformes; Cichlidae
Exons: 3
Source: RefSeq, a predicted model, not a curated record